CCUACGGGCGGCUGCAGUCGAGAAUCAUUCACAAUGGGGGAAACCCUGAUGGUGCGACGCCGCGUGGGGGAAUGAAGGUCUUCGGAUUGUAAACCCCUGUCAUGUGGGAGCAAAUUAAAAAGAUAGUACCACAAGAGGAAGAGACGGCUAACUCAGUGCCAGCAGCCGCGGUAAUACCGAGGUCUCAAGCGUUGUUCGGAAUCACUGGGCGUAAAGCGUGCGUAGGCUGUUUCGUAAGUCGUGUGUGAAAGGCGAGGGCUCAACCCGCGGACGGCACAUGAUACUGCGAGACUAGAGUAAUGGAGGGGGAACCGGAAUUCUCGGUGUAGCAGUGAAAUGCGUAGAUAUCGAGAGGAACACUCGUGGCGAAGGCGGGUUCCUGGACAUUAACUGACGCUGAGGCACGAAGGCCAGGGGAGCGAAAGGGAUUAGAUACCCUAGUAGUC
RNAcentral lists this ribosomal RNA (446 nucleotides) under uncultured bacterium. RNAcentral's name for it is "partial 16S ribosomal RNA". It matches the Rfam family "Bacterial small subunit ribosomal RNA", at positions 338 to 795 of the family's 1533-position model. The record is from RNAcentral.